UUCCUGCGGUGAUGAUUUUAUGAAAUAUUCACAUGUCAGACUUCAGAGAUUCUUGACGAAUCAGUGAGAAUGUAUUCACAUUUCUGUGCAGAAG
Brassica napus (rape) is the source of this 94-nucleotide non-coding RNA. The record is from Rfam. NCBI's taxonomy places the organism in Eukaryota, Viridiplantae, Streptophyta, Magnoliopsida, Brassicales, Brassicaceae.